GGAACCUAGCGGCGAAUGGGUGAGUAACACGUGCUUAAUCUGCCUCUUAGAUUGGAAUACCAAAUGGAAACAUUUGCUAAUGCGGGAUACGCAUGGAACCGCAUGGUUCCGUUGUGAAAGGAGCCUUUAAGCUCCGCUAAGAGAUGAGGGUGCGGAACAUUAGUUAGUUGGUAGGGUAAUGGCCUACCAAGACUAUGAUGUUUAGCCGGGUCGAGAGACUGAACGGCCACAUUGGGACUGAGAUACGGCCCAAACUCCUACGGGAGGCAGCAGUAGGGAAUAUUCCACAAUGGGCGAAAGCCUGAUGGAGCGACACAGCGUGCACGAUGAAGGUCUUCGGAUUGUAAAGUGCUGUUAUAAGGGAAGAACACUUCAAGUAGGAAAUGACUUGAAGCUGACGGUACCUUGUCAGAAAGCGAUGGCUAACUAUGUGCCAGCAGCCGCGGUAAUACAUAGGUCGCAAGCGUUAUCCGGAAUUAUUGGGCGUAAAGCGUUCGUAGGCUGUUUAUUAAGUCUGGAGUCAAAUCCCAGGGCUCAACCCUGGCUCGCUUUGGAUACUGGUAAACUAGAGUUGGAUAGAGGUAAGCGGAAUUCCAUGUGAAGCGGUGAAAUGCGUAGAUAUAUGGAAGAACACCAAAGGCGAAGGCAGCUUACUGGGUCUAUACUGACGCUGAGGGACGAAAGCGUGGGGAGCAAACAGGAUUAGAUACCCUGGUAGUCCACGCCGUAAACGAUGAUCAUUAGUCGGUGGAACAGUUCACUGACGCAGCUAACGCAUUAAAUGAUCCGCCUGAGUAGUAUGCUCGCAAGAGUGAAACUUAAAGGAAUUGACGGGGACCCGCACAAGCGGUGGAGCAUGUGGUUUAAUUUGAAGAUACACGGAGAACCUUACCCACUCUUGACAUCUUCUGCAAAGCUA
This 919-nucleotide ribosomal RNA is filed under the name uncultured Mycoplasma sp. RNAcentral describes it as "bacterial SSU rRNA". It matches the Rfam family "Bacterial small subunit ribosomal RNA", at positions 87 to 1000 of the family's 1533-position model. Lineage: Bacteria; Bacillati; Mycoplasmatota; Mollicutes; Mycoplasmatales; Mycoplasmataceae. The record is from RNAcentral.